UUUGACUCAACACGGGGAAACUCACCAGGUCCAGACAAAAUAAGGAUUGACAGAUUGAGAGCUCUUUCUUGAUCUUUUGGAUGGUGGUGCAUGGCCGUUCUUAGUUGGUGGAGUGAUUUGUCUGCUUAAUUGCGAUAACGAACGAGACCUCGGCCCUUAAAUAGCCCGGUCCGCAUCUGCGGGCCGGUUUCUAAGAAAAGACUGCAUGCAAGCUUCCCGAGGCAUGUCCGAUACCUCAGGCUACUUUCACGGG
RNAcentral lists this non-coding RNA (253 nucleotides) under Penicillium griseofulvum. RNAcentral describes it as "Eukaryotic small subunit ribosomal RNA". It matches the Rfam family "Eukaryotic small subunit ribosomal RNA", at positions 1194 to 1418 of the family's 1831-position model. The record is from Rfam by way of RNAcentral. Lineage: Eukaryota; Fungi; Ascomycota; Eurotiomycetes; Eurotiales; Aspergillaceae.